This 301-nucleotide ribosomal RNA is filed under the name uncultured bacterium. Its description in RNAcentral is "partial 16S ribosomal RNA". It matches the Rfam family "Bacterial small subunit ribosomal RNA", at positions 509 to 809 of the family's 1533-position model. The record is from RNAcentral.
CAGCCGCCGCGGGAAAACGGAGGGUGCAAGCGUUAAUCGGAUUUACUGGGCGUAAAGCGUGCGUAGGCGGCUUCUUAAGUCGGAUGUGAAAUCCCUGAGCUUAACUUAGGAAUUGCAUUCGAUACUGGGAAGCUAGAGUAUGGGAGAGGAUGGUAGAAUUCCAGGUGUAGCGGUGAAAUGCGUAGAGAUCUGGAGGAAUACCGAUGGCGAAGGCAGCCAUCUGGCCUAAUACUGACGCUGAGGUACGAAAGCAUGGGGAGCAAACAGGAUUAGAUACCCCCGUAGUCCCUGUCUCUUAUAA